AUACAGGGCAUUUUAUGCUCUGUAAUUGGAAUGAUGGGAAUGUAAAACCCUUCCAGAGUAACAAUUGGAGGGCAAGUCUGGUGCCAGCAGCCGCGGUAAUUCCAGCUCCAAUAGUGUAUAUUAGAGUUGUUGCAGUUAAAAAGCUCGUAGUUGGAUUUCUGCUGUGGUCAUCCGGUACCGCCCGUAUGGGUGCGCACCUGGUUUGGCUGCGGCUUUCUUCCUGUAGCCGUCCGCGCUUAAUUGCGUGUGUUGUGUUACGGAACUUUUACUUUGAGAAAAAUAGAGUGUUUCAAGCAGGCUUGUCGCCCUGAAUACUUCAGCAUGGAAUAAUAGGAUAGGACCUUGGUUCUAUUUUGUUGGUUUCUAGGACCAAGGUAAUGAUUAAUAGGGACAGUUGGGGGCAUUCGUAUUUAACUGUCAGAGGUGAAAUUCUUAGAUUUGUUAAAGACGAACUACUGCGAAAGCAUUUGCCAAGGA
This 477-nucleotide ribosomal RNA is filed under the name Eimeria christenseni. RNAcentral's name for it is "SSU rRNA". It matches the Rfam family "Eukaryotic small subunit ribosomal RNA", at positions 483 to 964 of the family's 1831-position model. The record is from RNAcentral. Lineage: Eukaryota; Apicomplexa; Conoidasida; Eucoccidiorida; Eimeriidae.